RNAcentral lists this ribosomal RNA (253 nucleotides) under uncultured bacterium. Its description in RNAcentral is "partial 16S ribosomal RNA". It matches the Rfam family "Bacterial small subunit ribosomal RNA", at positions 524 to 776 of the family's 1533-position model. The record is from RNAcentral.
UACGUAGGGUGCAAGCGUUAAUCGGAAUUACUGGGCGUAAAGCGUGCGCAGGUGGUUGUGUAAGCUUGAUGUGAAAUCCCCGGGCUCAACCUGGGAAUGGCAUUGAGGACUGCACGGCUAGAGUGCGUCAGAGGGGGGUGGAAUUCCGCGUGUAGCAGUGAAAUGCGUAGAGAUGCGGAGGAACACCGAUGGCGAAGGCAGCCCCCUGGGAUGACACUGACACUCAUGCACGAAAGCGUGGGGAGCAAACAGG